UUAUCCACACAUGCGCGCAUGAUCACACUGAAAAGGUCGCGCAUUCAAAGAAAAAAGUGCUCAAGGUCAUGAGGUGCACAUGACGUUUUUCUGUUUCCCUACCAUCCCUCCCUGCUUAGCUUCCAGCGCUUUCGUCAGGACAAGAGAAGAGAAUGCAAUUGCAGCAUGCGAGAAUCUUUGUAACUCCACUCCCACUGGACGGACUCUUAAAAUUUUUGUAGCAUUUAAUUCAUAAGGCAAUAAGCUCUUCCAGUGAAUUCAUCCUAUAGUUACCUGAAAAAUUGUUUCAAUGCUUGUUUAAGAUGGGCUACAAGAAGGACUGUUGAAACUGGAGACAGUGUGGUGUUAUGGAUUAUGAACAGCUGGCAACUGGCUGAGAAUUUCUGCUAAUGUCUAGAAAUAGUAACUUCGCAGUAUUUGCAAGCAAUCUUGUCUCCCUGGUCUGUGUCAUCUUCCUGUGCAUCUCGGCCCGUGUCCUGUGUCAGCAAGGGAGCACCACGACUGCAGUCAAGUGCAAGGAAAAAGCCAAGCUUUGUAGAGUUUGUUUCUCGGCCAUCGAUCCCAUCCACUGGAUGCUACGUCCAAACCCGCAUGGCUUUCUCAUCCGGCCUGUGCCUCUUGGAUGGGCAUGGUAAUCCUCAAGUUACCCCUGUCCUGUGGCCAUGGCGUGUCUGCGGCCUGAAGGGUUCACCUCCCGGUUUUUGCCUCUAGCCUGCCUUCUGGUGAAUGCAUCAUACAGGGAAAUCCAUCACUGUGGUCUGCCCUUCGGUCUUCACUCCAUGUGAGGACCCCAGUCAAUGUUGCUGUUUGUCAUCACUCUACUGUGACCACCAGCAGAUGAAGUGUGGGUGUUGCCUCCAUGAGACAUGCCCGUGAUUUCUGGAUCCACCGUGGCCUACUAACUUCCCUUAAACAGCUGUGCAACAGCUUCACGUCGGUGAUCUACAACCUGUUAUUGUAAACAGCUGUUUUAAAGAUAGUCCCAGGACUUACAGGAUCUAUUGUGCCUCAAAAUGGUAUGCUUUUCACUGGCCAUACAGUGAAUCCAGUGUUUUUAGCAGCUGUGUCAAAUAUAUUUUACCAAUAUUGUGAAUUUAUUCGCACAAGCUUAAAAUUUGGUACAAUGUUUCACCAUCACGCUCACAUAUUUCAUGACCAUAUGCACCUUCAGUGUGAUCGGCAGACCCAUGUGCAUGUUUUAGGUCAUGAUAGAGGCAUCUGUUCACACUGCGUAAUGUAGUGGCAUAUUGACGCUGGUUUGCAUUAAACUGCAUAAAAAGCCGGCCAACUUGGUACAGAUUCAUCUAUCUGUAUGACAAAGAGCCUACAUUCUGGGUGUGCACGUGCGUUUAGCAUAUCUUGGGCAACACUCUUUAAGUUCAGCCAUACACGGCUCAACUUGGUGCUUCUUUGAUUCGGUUUUGAGGUUAUUGUGCGGGCGCUUUCAGCAAGUCCUCUGUACAAAUAAGUGGUUCAGCUGAAGCAUCACCAGUCGUUGGGUGCGAGCUAUAGUGUUCGCUUCUUUGGAAUCCGUUUGCUUCAGACAUCCUGGUUGGAUGGCAUCCGGAGCCUUGGUCCAAUGUUAACGCUUAGACAGGUGCUUGCAAUUCACGUCCUCAUCCAAGUACCCAUUGCACCUUUCCCUAAUAUUUCUGCUGGUAUAUGUUUUCCAACUUGGCAAUCAUCAUUGCAUGCUUUGGGAAUGUCAGUGAACAUGUAAAAGCACAAAUAUGCCAAAAAGGGCACAGUGUGGGGGCGGGCCAUAAUCAUAGAAAAAACUUGCAGUUUGAUGGGAGCCUGUUUGAACGUGUCCAACUCGUAAUGUUUACCUUUAUAUUUUGUCUCUUCCUGCUAUACAGGGAAAUAUAUACCAGGGUCAGGGGACAAUGAGUACAGUGUGGCAGCAAGGCAGGGUUAUUUGCUCUUAGUGAAGACUUUUCGGUCAUGAAGUUCUAAAAUGUUAAGUUGCAGAUCGGGGAAUCGUACAUGCCUCCCGAGGUAGCCUUGGUGACUAAUGAAAUCUAGUCUUGUGCAUGCACUGGGCAACGUUCUCCAUUUGGUGAGGUCGCUGCCCAUUCACCUGUCAUCAGCCUGGAGUGCAUGCCCAAUGGUGCAGGCACGUGUGUAUCUGCCUUUAUGGAGGAAAUUUUGCUGUUUUUUGAAGUUGUAUCAGUUAGUCUAGUAUGGUGCAGAGAUUAAUCUGAAGCCAUUAUCAGUGUGACAUCGUUCAAUCAAAAUGAAUGCUUAGAAGUGUUUGUGACAAAUGGCCUUUUAUUUGCUGCUCUUCAUAUGUACUGCUGUACAUUGUUUCUUUCUAGUAUUGCUCCAGAUCUAUGAAGUGCUUUUAGGCAUCUACCUUUGUAUUUUUUUUCGCUUCCUUUGACUAACACUUAUUGUCACUAAAAGGGUCGUUCGAUUGAGAGUAUGCAUCAGUACGCAAAUAUUUUGUCUAUUCUAAUGCAUAGUGCUACCAUAUGUCGUCUUUGCCCAGUGAAGUGUGAAUGCCCAUUGAGCUUCCAUAUUUGUCUCCAGACCAUAGCUACAGCUUACCAAACAUAUUUUCAAAAGGCUUCUGCUGUCGUGAUAGUUUGUAUUGUUGCUGUUCCAAAAACAAAUUGUGGUUGCUCAGACUUGUUCAAAUAAAACAUGCAUUCUAUGUUAUUUUUCU
This 2668-nucleotide long non-coding RNA is filed under the name Rhipicephalus microplus (southern cattle tick). Its description in RNAcentral is "uncharacterized LOC119163985". The record is from RNAcentral. Lineage: Eukaryota; Metazoa; Arthropoda; Arachnida; Ixodida; Ixodidae.